RNAcentral lists this ribosomal RNA (484 nucleotides) under uncultured bacterium. RNAcentral's name for it is "partial 16S ribosomal RNA". It matches the Rfam family "Bacterial small subunit ribosomal RNA", at positions 30 to 507 of the family's 1533-position model. The record is from RNAcentral.
AUUGAACGCUGGCGGCAGGCCUAACACAUGCAAGUCGAGCGGAUGAAGGGAGCUUGCUCCUGGAUUCAGCGGCGGACGGGUGAGUAAUGCCUAGGAAUCUGCCUGGUAGUGGGGGAUAACGUCCGGAAACGGGCGCUAAUACCGCAUACGUCCUGAGGGAGAAAGUGGGGGAUCUUCGGACCUCACGCUAUCAGAUGAGCCUAGGUCGGAUUAGCUAGUUGGUGGGGUAAAGGCCUACCAAGGCGACGAUCCGUAACUGGUCUGAGAGGAUGAUCAGUCACACUGGAACUGAGACACGGUCCAGCCUCCUACGGGCGGCCGCAGUGGGGAAUAUCGGACAAUGGGCGAAAGCCUGCUCCAGCCAUGCCGCGUGUGUGAAGAAGGUCUUCGGAUUGUAAAGCACUUUAAGUUGGGAGGAAGGGCAGUAAGUUAAUACCUUGCUGUUUUGACGUUACCAACAGAAUAAGCACCGGCUAACUUCGUG